RNAcentral lists this ribosomal RNA (290 nucleotides) under uncultured Acinetobacter sp. Its description in RNAcentral is "partial 16S ribosomal RNA". It matches the Rfam family "Bacterial small subunit ribosomal RNA", at positions 1089 to 1382 of the family's 1533-position model. The record is from RNAcentral. Lineage: Bacteria; Pseudomonadati; Pseudomonadota; Gammaproteobacteria; Moraxellales; Moraxellaceae.
GCAACGAGCGCAACCUUUCUAUUUGCCAGCGGGUUAAGCCGGGAACUUUAAGGAUACUGCCAGUGACAAACUGGAGGAAGGCGGGGACGACGUCAAGUCAUCAUGGCCCUUACGACCAGGGCUACACACGUGCUACAAUGGUCGGUACAAAGGGUUGCUACCUAGCGAUAGGAUGCUAAUCUCAAAAAGCCGAUCGUAGUCCGGAUUGGAGUCUGCAACUCGACUCCAUGAAGUCGGAAUCGCUAGUAAUCGCGGAUCAGAAUGCCGCGGUGAAUACGUUCCCGGGCCUU